This 62-nucleotide transfer RNA is filed under the name bovine gut metagenome. It matches the Rfam family "tRNA", at positions 6 to 65 of the family's 71-position model. Rfam says of the family: Transfer RNA (tRNA) molecules are approximately 80 nucleotides in length. Their secondary structure includes four short double-helical elements and three loops (D, anti-codon, and T loops). The record is from RNAcentral.
CGUAGCUCAGCUGGCAGAGUAUUGCACUUUUAAUGCAGUGGUCGUGGGUUCGAAUCCCACCG